GAGAGAGAAGCUCACGAAGCUCACAAACAACAACAGCAACAGGAGCUGCAGGAGAUGCUGGACAGACACCGCUCCCAAAACGAGGCAUGGCUUCGAGCGAGAGCCGAGGAGAACGACCGAGAGAGGAAGGAGCUCUGCAGACUCAGAGAGGAGGUGCAGCAGGAGCAGGAGAGGCUGAAGGAGGAGCAGAGCAACAUCCAGAAACGCAGCGAGCAUCUACUGUCCAUCAUGCAGCAGUUUAAAGGAAUGUGACAGAAUGACCACUUAUCUGUUUUGUUAUUCAUGUUUAUUUAAUUUGCUGAAGGCUAGAUAUAGAUGGGGAUCUUUCAGGUACAAAUAUGUGUCUUUUUUAGUAUUUUAUUUUGAAGGUGUAUAACAGGAGGUUAAGUAUAAGCAGAGGAAAUAAAAAAGAAAAGCAAGAAA
Labrus bergylta (ballan wrasse) is the source of this 423-nucleotide non-coding RNA. The record is from RefSeq and is a predicted model, not a curated record. Lineage: Eukaryota; Metazoa; Chordata; Actinopteri; Labriformes; Labridae.